AAGAUCAUACUUGUACAGGAUCACUUCUAUAGUGAAUUCCCCUGUCUUGUCAUUCCCAAAAAUGACAGAUCAACCGACCUGGACGAUGAUACACAGGCGCGCUCGCUGAGCGUGAGGCAGGGACCCGGGUGCGCUCAUUCGUAUCGCACCCGGGCUCCCACGAUGACCGUACUGCUUGCUCUCAUUCCGGCUCGCAGUUGCGGGCGCGCCAUUCUGACAGGC
Molecule: small nucleolar RNA, 222 nt
Organism: Plasmodiophora brassicae
Lineage: Eukaryota; Endomyxa; Phytomyxea; Plasmodiophorida; Plasmodiophoridae
Rfam family: Small nucleolar RNA U3
About the family: Small nucleolar RNAs (snoRNAs) are involved in the processing and modification of rRNA in the nucleolus.
Source: Rfam